CAGGUUAAUAUAUUUAAAAACAGUUUCAGAAAUUCUAUAAAAUGUUUAGAAAAUCAUUGUGCUAAUUUAAAAAUCUGAUUCGGAAAAAUAAAAUUAUGAUAAACAAAUCCCCCCCCAAAUUAUGUUAAACAAAACCAGAAAUAUGAUCUAUGCUGACUUCAUUCACAAUGGACAGCGAAGAAAAACAUACAGUAUCAUUCACACCUCAACAGCAUUUGCUUAAUUGAUGUCUAAACCCCUACUGCAUGCAAGAACAAAACAAAAAGGUGUGUAAAAAGAUGCUAAAAGAUUCUGCUAAAAUAUGACAAUACUCAUGAAUCAAUACAUAUUCCAGUGCCCUAGGCACUAUUAUCAACAUUUUAAAACAUUGUAAAACAUUUAUAAUCCUCUCUUACUCAAACAGUAAAACUACAGACAAUUCAAUGUCUUGUUCCAGCACAGGGAAAAUGAGAGAGGAACAAGGGGUCAUUUCUCCAGGACCUGAAGAUCAAUACCAGAGCCAUCUUCUUCUAUACAGAGAACAAAACAACAACAUACACAUCAGACAUGUCAGACCAUUCAUUCUACAGCAGACCGUAAAGAUGGAAUAGUUAAUAUGCUGUUGCUGUGGUAAAAUUAAAAGACAACCCAUGACCAUGACAGCUUUCUCUCGCUCUCUCUGCUCAACCUCAGGAAAAUGGAAGUGUUCCCAUCUUAAGGACAACCACCGAGAAAAGGACUAGUUUCAAUCAUAGACAUACCUAUUUCUUCUUCUUCUUUUUAUAUUCAUCUAUCCCCAUUUUAGCUACAAACACAGUUAAAUGUGCUGCUUCUAUAAGCUAGUGCAUACACUGUCAUUGGUUGUCCAGUUGGGCCCUUGAUAGGUUUAGGUUGAUUUGAAGAUAUUGGUACAUAUGCAGAAACACACAUGAAAUGUGAUGUCAUGUAUGUCAUGUGUGUCAUGAAAAUUGUGUUCUUUAAGUGUCACUGAGUAUACUGAUACUCAAUUUCAUGGGUUCACAUUUCAAAGUUGGAUGGCAGGUAGCCUAGUGGUUAGAGUGUUGGACUAGUAACUGAAUGGUUGCAAGUUCACAUCUCUCAGCUGACAAAAUAAAAAAUCUGUUAUUCUACCUCUGAAUAAGGACCAACCACUGAUCCUUGGCUGUCAUUGAAAACAAGUUUUUUUAUCUUAACUGACCUUCCUAGUUAAAUAAAGGUUAAAAAAAUAGUUAAGGCUGUACAGUGCAUACAAGUAUGCCCAAUGCAAUUAUGCAGUCUAAAAUAUCCACAGUGUGAUUUGAAUUGUUUUCUGAUUAUUGUCAAAUAUAUUAAUUAUUGUAUUUUAAAUUAUGUAACAACAUUCCAACCUUGUAUAACUUAAUCUAGUACAAACAUAUGACAUGAUUCCACCUUUUGUAUUCGUUUGCAUCACCUUCAAUAGGGACUUUAAAUUUGAAGGUGAAUCUCAAAUUCCAACGAUUGGCUAAUCAUUAUUGUGGCUCAUUUCACACAGGUAAAUGAACCAAUCCGAACUGUCUGUCUGUCGAUGGUGAUGGGAGAGCUGGCCUCAGUUUCAUGCUAAGCAUCGCGCUAGCACUUACUACUCCCUCAACGGUCCGUGCUGCAUUAUGUUACCGGUAUUCACACAUUUCGUCACUAGUAGUUAGUAUAAUUCUCGAUUAUCAGAAGGUAUAACGGUAAUUGUUUUUGGAAAGCUGCAAAAAAUUGUCGACUUUUCAUGGUCUGAUAAACAUUUCGAAGUGGCAAUUCGUGAAGCAGAUAAAAAUACGUUUUUGAAAACUGAAAAGAUUAGGUCUCGAUGUCUUGCCAAGGCUGCACUGCAGCAUCUACUCACAGGCAUUAUCCCACUACUGGACAGCACGGGGGAUUUGACCUACUUCGAUUCCGACCUGGGUCGGUUCACCCCUCCUUAGACAACCUGGUGGUCCCGGGCUCCCCCAGGAACACCAUAUCGAUACCGAACUUAGCAUGGACACCCGUUCAACGUAGCAUGCUGCAGCCCAGAGCUCCUCAGCUCACUUGAUCCACCAACCUCAGCCUCCCAGUGACUUGGAUUACAGGCACAUGCCACCGUGCCCGGCGAAAAACUCAACUGCAGGUUAAGGUGAUAGAGGUAGGAGUCUGGGACGUAAAUACGAAGGACGGCUGUAGGCUAUAGUCCUUUGCAUGGGAAAAACUAAGAAGUGCUGCUGACUAGAUUGUAAGAAAUAAAAUACGGAUCAUGCUUUACCAUACAUUGUGGAAGUGUAGGCUUACAGUAAAAAAAGGUGGACUCCAAACAUGUUGUGGAAACAUCUCAAGCAUGAUCAAUGGAAAUGAGUCUCAUCGCAAAGGGUCUGAAUACUUAUGUAAAUAAGGUAUUUCAAAGUAUUUUUUUAUUGACAUUCUAUUUUUCACCCCUUUUUCGAAGUUACAGUCUAGUCUCAUCACUGCAACUCCCCUACAGUCGAGAGGAGAGGCGAAGGUUGAGAACCAUGCGUCCUCCGAAACACGACCCUGCCAAGCCGCACUGCUUCUUGACACACUGCUCGAUUAACCCGGAAGCCAGCCGCACCAAUGUGUCGGAGGAAACAUCGUCCAACUGACGAUCGAAAUCAGCUUGCAGGCGCUCGGCCAGCCACAAGGAGUUGCUAGAGCACAUUGAGACAAGGAAAUCCCGGCCGGCCAAACCCCUAACCCGGAAAACGCUAGGUCAAUUGUGCGCCGCCUCAUGGGUACCCCGGUCACGGCCGGCUGUGACAUAGCCUGGGAUCGAAUUUUUUAUAUAUAAUACAUUUUCUUAGAUUUCUAAAAACCUGUUUUCACUUUGUCAUUAUGGGGUAUUGUGUGUAGAUUGAUGAGGAUUUUUUAUUUAUUUAAUCAAUUUUAGAAUAAGGCUGUGACGUAACAAAAUUUGGAAAAAGUCAAGGGAUCUGAAUAAUUUCUGAAUGCACUGUAGGAUACUAGUAGCUAGACUAUAGCCUAGUUCUUUCCAUAUCGUUUGUGUUUUGGUUUCAUUGCACUGAGAAACAGUUGCCAAAUCAAGCAGAAUAUUUAUUCUGAAAAGAAUUUAAAAAAUAUUGAGUUUCAAUCACACUGCAGCGUGUACUCACAGGCACUAUCCCAGUACUGGACGGCAUGGGAGCAUUGACCUGCUUCAUUUCCGUCCUGGGCCAGUGCACCCCUCCAUAGAGGACUUGGUGGUCCCCAGCUCCCCCAGGAACACCAUAUUGAUACCCGUUGGACAGAGCUCCUCAGUUCACUCGAUCCGCCAACCUCAGACUCCAAGUGACUUUGAUUACAGACAAGUGCCACCACGCCAGGCAAGAAACCCAGCUGCAGGUAAAAGGGAUAAAGGUAGGAGCCUGUGACAUCAUUUAAAAUGUGCAACGGUCUGGUCUUGUGCGUGUGUGUGUUAAAUAAAACAUGUCCAAAGUAGUACUGUAGAUCGUAAUACUGUAAUUUUAACUUGGACAGAAGAAAAACAAUUUGUAAUAACCUACUGAAAAUAUAGCCAUUUAUAGACGCUUUUCCAGUACACUACACAUUAACGUCAUGCACAGAUGUGCACAACUCUUUGCGAAAGCCAUUAACAUCUGCGCCCCUUUAACAUUUCCUAGAUUUGAAUUUGUAUUACUUUUAAAGAAAAAAACUUUUGGGGGUUCUCAUAUGCUUACAAUUAUGUUCUGAUUCUUGCUUGAACAUUCGCUAAGAUUAUAUUUGGUUGUGAUCUUUGCAAAAUAACUAUUUUGGAUGCAGCAGUUCUUAGCUAGAAUGCUAAUGCUCAUUGAUUUAAGCAGCAGUAAAAGCUAGCCAAAGAGUCAUUUUACUGGUUGAAGUUGAAGUGUUUUUCAAGUAUAAUGCAGUUGUUGCGAUGAUGACACAAACAGUAUAAUAAGCAGGACAUUCAUACGAGCCUCCAAUUACAAUCCAAAAGUAGGGUGAAUUGUACACAUAAGCAACAUGUAAUACAUUUUUACUUUUAAACUCAGACAAAACAGAGAUGCUCGUUCUAGGUCCCAAGAAACAAAGAGAUCUUCUGCUGGAUCUGACAAUUAUUCUUCAUGUUUGUACAGUCGUCUCGAAUAAAACUGUGAAGGACCUCGGCAUUACUCUGGACCCUGAUCUCUCUUUUGAACAUAUCAAGACUAUUUCAAGGACAGCUUUUUUCCAUCUACGUAACAUUGCAAAAAUCCUAAGCUUUCUGUCCAAAAAUGAUGCAGAAGAGUUCAUCCAUGCUUUUGUCUUUUCUAGAUGAGACUACUGCAAAGCUCUACUUUCCGGCUACCCGGAUAAAGCACUAAAUAAACUUUGGUUAGUGCUAAACAAGGCUGCUAGAAUCUUGACUAGAACCCAAACAUUUGAUCAUAUUACUCCAGUGCUGGCUUCCUGUUACAGAUAUGGCUAAUUUCAAGGUUUUACUGCUAACCUACAAAGCAUUACAUGGGCUUGCUCCUACCUAUCUCUCCGAUUUGGUCCUGCCGUACAUACCUACACGUACGCUACGGUCACAAGACGCAGGACUCCUUAUUGUUCCUAGAAUUUCUAAGCAAACAGCUGGAGGCUGGGCUUUCUCCUAUAGAGCUCAAUUUUUAUGGAAUGGUCUGCCUAUCCAUGUGAGAGACGCAGACUCGGUCUCAACCUUUAAGUCUUUACUGAAGACUCAUCACUUCAGUAGGUCCUAUUAUUGAGUGCAGUCUGGCCCAGGGGUGUGAAGGUGAAUGGAAAGGCACUGGAGCGACUAACAGCCCUUGCUGUCUCUGCCUGGCCGGUUCCCCUCCCUCCACUGGGAUUCUGCCUCUAACCCUAUUACGGGGUCUGAGUCGCUGGCUUAAUGGUGCUUUUCCAUGCCGUCCCUAGGAGGGGUGCGUCACUUGAGUGGGUUGAGUGACUAACGUGAUCUUCCAGUCCGGGUUGGCGCCACCCUCUGGUUCAUGCCGUGGGGGAGAUCUUCGUGGGCUAUACUCAGCCUUGUCUCAGGGUAGACCUGAGCCCUGGGACCAUGCCUCAGGACUACCUGGCCUGAGGACUCCUUGCUGUCCCCAGUCCACCUGGUCGUGCUGCUGCUCCAGUUUCAACUGUUCUGCCUGCGGCUAUGGAACCGUGACCUGUUCACCGGACGUGCUACCUUGUCCCAGACCCGCUGUUUUGCUCCACAUGAUGCAUCCAUUAUGUCACAGGGUUGAAAGCAGAAUCAUACAGUUAAAUGUGUUAUGGAGAAGGAUAUUCAGGUAUCGGAAUCCAACUGACAGAAAGACUUUGGCAAUGUACUGCUGCAUUACUCCCAACCCCAACCCCCCCCCUCUUAGUGAUGUAACUUCCUCAGUGUGUGCCUCUGCAUUGACCUGGUGUUGUGUUUACCUUGAAAUGUGUGCAAUGGCUAUCAAUCAUUAAUAAGCAUACACUCUCACCAGAGCCCUGAUGGCUUGGGCCUUAGGGCUGGAGAUAGAUUAAAGACAGGUCUACUCCUGCUUAAAAUAGAAAGCACUAGACCAGACCUGCACAAUGGAGGUUUUCAUUUUCCUAUGUGGUACUGCGGUUUAAACACACAGUAAUGGUUUUACCUGCUAUACGCUUUAUUUAACGCAUGAGCAGACAUUACGCUAUCUAAUUAAUAACACUUAGUUUGAGUGAGGAAAUAGGGUACUCCUUGUUGUAGAGAUCUCCUCAUUCUGAGCAGGUUUACCCUAAAGGUUUCCCUAGCCACAUAUUUUGGAUCAUCUUACUCUAUGCAAAACUGACAUUAGAAUAGCUUUUAAGAGCAGCUUCAUCCUACUCACCAUUUAUAGGUCACAUGACCCCCAGCAGCCCAUGGCACUGUCACAAAUGCUUUUACGCAAGGCCACACCAGACUAGAAAAUAAAUCAAAAGUAAAAAAUAAA
Molecule: long non-coding RNA, 5861 nt
Organism: Salvelinus fontinalis (brook trout)
Lineage: Eukaryota; Metazoa; Chordata; Actinopteri; Salmoniformes; Salmonidae
Exons: 2
Source: RefSeq, a predicted model, not a curated record